GACGAACGCUGGCGGCGCGCCUAACACAUGCAAGUCGAACGAGCGAGAGAGAGCUUGCUUUCUCCAGCGAGUGGCGAACGGGUGAGUAACGCGUGAGGAACCUGCCUCAAAGAGGGGGACAACAGUUGGAAACGACUGCUAAUACCGCAUAAGCCCACGACCCGGCAUCGGGUAGAGGGAAAAGGAGCAAUCCGCUUUGAGAUGGCCUCGCGUCCGAUUAGCUAGUUGGUGAGGUAACGGCCCACCAAGGCGACGAUCGGUAGCCGGACUGAGAGGUUGAACGGCCACAUUGGGACUGAGACACGGCCCAGACUCCUACGGGAGGCAGCAGUGGGGAAUAUUGCACAAUGGGGGAAACCCUGAUGCAGCGACGCCGCGUGGAGGAAGAAGGUCUUCGGAUUGUAAACUCCUGUUGUUGAGGAAGAUAAUGACGGUACUCAACAAGGAAGUGACGGCUAACUACGCG
RNAcentral lists this ribosomal RNA (466 nucleotides) under uncultured bacterium. RNAcentral describes it as "partial 16S ribosomal RNA". It matches the Rfam family "Bacterial small subunit ribosomal RNA", at positions 28 to 507 of the family's 1533-position model. The record is from RNAcentral.